This is a long non-coding RNA of Bombus huntii, 2797 nucleotides long. RefSeq lists it as uncharacterized. The record is from RefSeq and is a predicted model, not a curated record. NCBI's taxonomy places the organism in Eukaryota, Metazoa, Arthropoda, Insecta, Hymenoptera, Apidae. The transcript has 2 exons.
UAUUGUAUGUAAUUUAAUUACUAUUUGCUAUUAUUGUUGUUCAAAAUCGAAAAGAUUAAUAGCAAGUAUUUAUUUCUAAUCCUUUUUCCUAUAGUUCCUAAUUUUCUUAUAGUAUACAAUUUGUCUGCGUGAAUUCAAAAUAAACAGAAUAUAAAUCAAAAAUAUUGCUGCUAUUAAUGUAUUAAACCAUCUUUAUUUUAAUUAAACUAAUUCCUUACUAAAAUAACUUUUUUAUCGAGUAGGAUAAAGAUACAAAAAUGUUAUCAUUAAAUAUUUUUGACGAUUAAGAAACCGAUUCAUUAGCCACACAAUUCUCACUAUUCCACAGGUUGUUGGUGUUAUUAAAGAGACAAAGUCUUGGCAUUGAUACAGCAAAAUCUUGGAAUCAGUUACCUUUGAAAGUCCAAAUAGUAAUGAUCUCGUAAUGGGUUAAUAAAUUUCAAGUUAUAUCUAAAUUUGUUGAACGUAUAAUUUCAUACCAUAUUACAUAUAUUUCUUUAAAAUAAUAUUAAAUAAUAAACAAAAUUUAAAUAAUUAUUACAUUUGAAUUUUUCCAUGGAAACUCAGUUCUUCCUCGAGUUCAUAAAAAUGUAUCCUUAUUACAGAAUUGCAUCAUACCAGACACAAUUACACGAUCUUUUUAUUGCGUUAUACAAUUGAAAACUAACAUUUCAUGCAUCAGGGCACAACGCAAUGCUUGUAAUAACGAACCAACAACGAACAAUAGCAACAGUACUGCAAUUAUCAGUAAAUACUAAUUAUUAUUUAAAAUAACAUUUCAUAAAACAUCGAAAUACUAGAUACUAUUGAUUAUUACUAUUCUGAAUUUUCAUUAUUUACUAGCAUCGUGUAUUUUAUCAUUACAAAGUAUAACUUAUUCGAAACUUUUGUUAAAAAGAUGGAUUGCAUACAUAUGUGAUGAAAAGAUUACUCUCUUGUGUUUCAUACUUUAUACUGAACCGCGUUAAUUUGCGCAACUAAAUUUCAAAGCGGAUCGUGCUAUAAAAAAGGUGUACAGUUGUACAGUUGUCUUUUUCUUCUCAAGUGGAAACAUAUGCGUUGUAUACACACAGUGAAGUGAAAAUUCAAAGUGAAUCGCAUUCGAUUACGAUGUUCUAUUGUGUAAAAUAAGGUUAAGGAGAAAAAAUGGAACAGAUAUGUAAGAAGGUGAAUCUUUGUUUUACGAUAUUUCGGAAAUUCAAAAAGAGCAUGGUACAUAUUGCGAAAGUUUGAAACAGAAAGUGGAGAAACACGAAAUCUGUAAAAAUUUUCAAUUGUUAGUGUUCUAACAUUAAUUUACACAAGACAUAUUUAUUCUAAUAAUAUGUAAAUACAACUUUAAAGAUGACCAUAUGGUAGUCGUUGCAACUUUAAAUGAAAUAUUUAAAAAACUUUAAAGUAUAUUGCUCAAAGUAACUAGAACAUUUUAUUUCCACGAAAUAACACAAUAUCUUUUCUAAGCAUUGGAUCUGUACUGAAUUUUACAGUACAUAAAUGUUUCUUUCAAGAUACUGAUUUAAAACUUUGGGGUUUACACAUUUAAAUUGUUUUAAAUCCAAUUAAAGCAAAAAAAUCGUCUUUGACGCAAACACUUUUUUAGUAAUGUAUUUAAUAGUUCUAACGCAUCUUUUAUGUUUCCGGAGAAAAUGUAAGUACAAGAAAUAUUGGAACGAACGUACAUAAUACAUAAAUGAAAGAAAACAUUGAAAAAUAUGUGAGCGUAUGAAUCUUUGAUUUCCACAUGAUUGCAAUAUUUAUAAAUGUGGUGAGUAAAUGCAUUUUAAAUGAAUGAAGUGAUUGAAGGCGAUAUGAAUCUAAAUUUUGUUCCAGUUUUUUAAUUUUAUGAAUAAAUUUUAAAUAAAUAAAUUUUUUCAAAUUUAAAAAUUAAAUAAGUUGCAAUGGUUAUGAAUCAAGAUAUAGAAAAUUAUUGUAUCGUUUAUCUGAAAUAAAUGUAUGUGGAAAUUCGUUCGUAUGAUAUUGCAAAUGACUGAUAGCGUGCGUAUUAAAAAUUUCUUUUCAAAAUACAAAUAAAAGAUCUUAAUCUUUGCAUGAAUCAACGUAAGAAACUUGUAAAUUGUUUUUUUUGUGUGUGUGUGUGUGUGUGUGUGUGUGUGUGUGUGUGUGUGUGUGUGUGUGUGUGUGUGUGUGUGUGUGUGUGUGUGUGUGUGUGUGUGUGUGUGUGUGUGUGUGUGUGUGUGUGUGUGUGUGUAAUUUAAUAUUCCUUUAGAUAUAAUUAAGGAGAUAGUGCGCAGAAUGACGUGCGCAUAAUCUAACUCCGUAUCUGGGAUUCUUUUAUUCAUGCAAUCAUAUUUGUUGAAUUUCAGAUAUAUUAAUCAUUGUAAAAAUGUACUCAUAUAACGACAACAUACAACUUCCUCCGUUUCGAUAUUGCCUUACUGGAACAUUAAGUAGGAUUCUACGUAAUCGAUUAUUAAAAAAUUUAACUAUCAUUAUUCAAACGAAUAUAUUUCUAUAAACAAUAAACAAUAAUGUAUUUAAAAAGGAAAAAAAUAAAUGUUAAAAAUGAUGUGCAGAAGAAAAAGCAUUUGCUGCAAAUGAAAGUACAGUUAUUCUUAAUACACAUUAUCUAGAAUCUAGACCUACUCAAGAAAAGAAACAUUGGCGUUUGGCCUGCAUAUAUUAGAUAUUAUAAUAGAAAGCAUUUCACAUAAUAGAAAGCAUUUGAGAUGACUACAUAUAUAACAAUGUACCUACUAUAAUUGAAACUAUAUUUGCGAAAUAGUUGAUUAUAUUUACAAAUAUUAAUUACCAUUAAUAAACAAUAUUUUAUAUUAAA